ACCACCAAUGGCAGACACAGAAAGAAAACAGGAUUGACAAGCUGGCACCAUGUGAGCCCAUGAGAGCCAAACCAUGGCAAGGGGAUUGCAGAGAGUCAGAUUCUCCACUGAGCCCUGCCCCGGCAGGAAGGCAAGCUCCAGUCAAGGGUGGAACAAGGUGACGCCCACGUUCAGCCAUAGGAAGCUCGCACAUCUCCUGCCACCAGCCACGACAGCCCCCGUCCUGCACAGGCAGGCCCGAAUCUUGGGAAACACAAUGGCUGCCGCCAUCACAGUUAUAGAUAUUCACAGGUCUCAGAGAAGCCCAAAUGCAAUCCUAGCUGACACGAUAACGGAUAUUUAGCAGGGAGUGGAGAGCCCAGGGAAGAAUACUGUGAUGCUGAUGGGGAAUAUUGAUGACUCCCAGUUUGCAGAUAGUGGCACGUGGUGACACCUCCUCACUGUGUGAUCCAGGGGCCUUCCCUGAUGUGGUCCUGGAUGUUUCUGUACUGAUGGCCUCACUCCCCUGGCUGCUUGGCUCUGUACUGGGAUUUUCAUCUCAGGAUGUGUGAAACCAGCCUGAAGACAGUUCUUGUAAAAAUGUCCUUGAAACCAUGAAAUUGGCGCAAGACCGAUCAGAACUGAGAUAGGAAAGUCACUCAAAGAACUCGAAAGCCUACCAGGCCAGAAAGGGUGGUCUACGACUUAAUUGGUUGUAUCAACCCAUGUAAGCAAGGACUAUGUCCUUCAGAAAUGGAUGAACGAGAAUGGAAAGCUGGAGGAAGGAGAGACAGUCACACAUGGGCAGUGCUCAUCAGGAAGGGCUCUGCUUGGCAACAGUGCGUCUGAUCCACCUGUCAGGUAUAUCCUUAUUUUGAAGGUGAGACUUCCUGGGAUUUUGGAGACUGAUGCUAAACUCUGAGCUCCAAGAAAGCAGGAACA
Molecule: long non-coding RNA, 921 nt
Filed under: Homo sapiens (human)
Lineage: Eukaryota; Metazoa; Chordata; Mammalia; Primates; Hominidae
Description: HSALNT0299042
Source: RNAcentral